CUACGGAGGGUGCGAGCGUUAUCCGGAUUUAUUAGGUUUAAAGGGUGUGUAGGCGGGAGCCUAAGUCAGUGGUGAAAUCUCACAGCUUAACUGUGAAACUGCCAUUGAAACUGGGUUUCUUGAGUAUAGUUGAGGUAGGCGGAAUGUGUAAUGUAGCGGUGAAAUGCAUAGAUAUUACACAGAACACCGAUUGCGAAGGCAGCUUACUAAGCUAUUACUGACGCUGAUGCACGAAAGCGUGGGUAGCGAACAGGAGUAGAAACCCCAGUAGUCC
This 274-nucleotide ribosomal RNA is filed under the name uncultured bacterium. Its description in RNAcentral is "partial 16S ribosomal RNA". It matches the Rfam family "Bacterial small subunit ribosomal RNA", at positions 523 to 796 of the family's 1533-position model. The record is from RNAcentral.